Molecule: ribosomal RNA, 846 nt
Filed under: Triticum aestivum (bread wheat)
Lineage: Eukaryota; Viridiplantae; Streptophyta; Magnoliopsida; Poales; Poaceae
Description: partial small subunit ribosomal RNA
Source: RNAcentral
AUGCCAGAUCACCUAAAGUGUUAUCAGAAAGAUGCAAGCAUGCAGGUGUCGAAGACUUUCAUGCACAACAUAAUCUACGUCCAGGCAUUGGAGAUAGUAAAACUAGCUGACAGCGGCAUGGUUACUUUCCAGCAUGCUAUAAUGGGAUUGGAUAAAGUAAAGAAUGAUCUUGAAAAGAUUAUAGCAGCAGGAAUUACACAGGGACAAGCUUCUAAUGACAAAGGCAAUGCAGCUCAAGCAAGCAAAGAGCCAACACAGGAAACAACUCAAGGAUUCAAAGAAAAUGAGACCACACCUACAGAGAACCAACAAACGGAUGAAGGAUUGAAGAACGAAAUGGGCAACAUGUUCUCACAAGGUUCUCAAAGUUGUUUAGCACCUGAAAAGAGAUCAGCCAAAGGUAGACCCAAAAUGAAGCGUUUCAAGUCAGCGGCUGAAGGCGCAUCAAACAAGAGCACAAGGAAGUGUGCGAUAUGUGGAUCUAGGGACCAUUUCACAAAGUCUUGCCCUUGCCACCUUGUUGGUGCAGCAUCAUCAAGCCAUUCUGAGGGAGAUGCCGACUUAACAGUUGAAGACCAUGUCAACACAGAUGUUGUUGAAGAAAAAGAUGUCAAUCAGCAAAGCCAGAUGGGAGAACAAAGUAGGAGAACUGAAAACAUCAAUACUCCCAAGUCUGUCCAGAGGAGGUGCAAGAAAUGCGGUCUGCCUGGUCAUUACACUCCUAAGUGCCCAAAAUUCUAUGGCCCCAAAAAGCCUCCAAAAGAGGUGACAUGCAAAAAAUGUUGCCUGGGAGGUCACUACUCGUCGACUUGUGGAGGGGAGUCUUCAUACAAAAGAAAGCGUUAA